RNAcentral lists this ribosomal RNA (489 nucleotides) under uncultured bacterium. RNAcentral describes it as "partial 16S ribosomal RNA". It matches the Rfam family "Bacterial small subunit ribosomal RNA", at positions 29 to 505 of the family's 1533-position model. The record is from RNAcentral.
AGUGAACGCUGGCGGUAGGCCUAACACAUGCAAGUCGAACGGCAGCACAGUAAGAGCUUGCUCUUACGGGUGGCGAGUGGCGGACGGGUGAGGAAUACAUCGGAAUCUACUUUUUCGUGGGGGAUAACGUAGGGAAACUUACGCUAAUACCGCAUACGACCUACGGGUGAAAGCAGGGGAUCUUCGGACCUUGCGCGAUUGAAUGAGCCGAUGUCGGAUUAGCUAGUUGGCGGGGUAAAGGCCACCAAGGCGACGAUCCGUAGCUGGUCUGAGAGGAUGAUCAGCCACACUGGAACUGAGACACGGUCCAGACUCCUACGGGAGGCAGCAGUGGGGAAUAUUGGACAAUGGGCGCAAGCCUGAUCCAGCCAUACCGCGUGGGUGAAGAAGGCCUUCGGGUUGUAAAGCCCUUUUGUUGGGAAAGAAAAGCAGCAGGUUAAUACCCCGCUGUUCUGACGGUACCCAAAGAAUAAGCACCGGCUAACUUCG